Molecule: long non-coding RNA, 995 nt
Filed under: Rattus norvegicus (Norway rat)
Lineage: Eukaryota; Metazoa; Chordata; Mammalia; Rodentia; Muridae
Description: long non-coding RNA NONRATT005045
Source: RNAcentral
GCAAGCGGCCGCCCAGUCCCACACUGCAGCAUGCUAUCAGCGAGGACAAUCUAUCUAGCAGCACAGGCGAAGGCCCCGCCAGGGCGGUAGGACCUCGAGGUGAUGGCUCUGGGCCCUGGGUGCGUGGCCAAAAGAAAUGCCUCAGCAAAAAAAGGGAGGAGUCACUGGAGGCCAAGAGGAGGAAGCGGAGGUCUCGGUCCUUCGAGGUCACGGGACAAGGGCUGUCCCGUUCCAAGACACACCUGCUGGGGCCGCGUCCCUCGGAGGGCGUUUCAGACCGCAGGAUGCCAGCGUGUGGACGGCCAUCCCCUGGUGUCAGGCAUUUGGGGAAAGUCUCUCUGCCUCUGGCCAAGGUCAAAUUUCCUCCAAACCAGAAUACAGGCUCUGGAAACCCUUCACCCCUUCUUGUCCCCUCCAACCAAGCUGGUGUUUCCCGUAGAGCUACGCGUGGGCCCAACCUGCCUCAUGGCUCAAGCACCUUUGGCAAAGAUGGCCGCCUCCAACAUAACUGAGGGGCCCUGGUACCUACUAUUCUGCCCCCAAGACUGAACGGGGUGUAGCAGGGAUUGGGAGUGGAAGCUGGGCAGUUGGGGAUCCCGUGGAGCAAGAGCUUGGAGGGCUGGGCUCCCAUGACCCAGAAACGGUUGGGCUGCCUGCACAGCUCUUCCAUGUUCACUCUGCCACUAGAAUGGGAGAUGAGUCCCAGAGACCCGGCUUCCCAGCCCGGGACAGAACAUUGUUGCCAAAAACUUAUACAGACCUGAGGCCAGUCUCGGCUUCGGCUUCGGCAAUGGGGGAGAGGAGCUGUUAGUAAGACAGGACUUGGCCCACCCCUGGGCUUGGCUGAAGAUGGGGGAUGGGAAGGAGCCCACAGGACUUCACAUAAGGAGGGGAGGGGAUGGGGAGGGAGUCUGGUUUUGUAACUUCUUUGUUGCUCUUUUUUUUUCUUUCUUUCUUUUUGCCUUUCUUUUAAAUAAAGUCCUACUGGGGUUUUG